UACGGGAGGCAGCAGUGGGAAUAUUGCACAAUGGGCGCAAGCCUGAUGCAGCCAUGCCGCGUGUAUGAAGAAGGCCUUCGGGUUGUAAAGUACUUUCAGUCGUGAGGAAGGUGUUAAGGUUAAUAACCUUAGCAAUUGACGUUAGCGACAGAAGAAGCACCGGCUAACUCCGUGCCAGCAGCCGCGGUAAUACGGAGGGUGCGAGCGUUAAUCGGAAUUACUGGGCGUAAAGGGCACGCAGGCGGUUAAUUAAGUUGGAUGUGAAAUCCCCGGGCUUAACCUGGGAAUGGCAUUCAAGACUGGUUAGCUAGAGUCUUGUAGAGGGGGUAGAAUUCCAUGUGUAGCGGUGAAAUGCGUAGAGAUGUGGAGGAAUACCGGUGGCGAAGGCGGCCCCUGGACAAAGACUGACGCUCAUGUGCGAAAGCGUGGGGAGCAAACAGGGAUUAGAUACC
Molecule: ribosomal RNA, 452 nt
Filed under: uncultured bacterium
Lineage: Bacteria
Description: bacterial SSU rRNA
Rfam family: Bacterial small subunit ribosomal RNA
Source: RNAcentral